Molecule: long non-coding RNA, 3079 nt
Organism: Xenopus laevis (African clawed frog)
Lineage: Eukaryota; Metazoa; Chordata; Amphibia; Anura; Pipidae
Exons: 3
Source: RefSeq, a predicted model, not a curated record
GAGGGGCUGUAGGUUCAACUCUGCGGGGGAGGGAAUGAGUAGGUUUGGUGCGAUUGUGUCAGUUAAAAGAUUAUUAUAAAGGAUAACGGAUUAUUGUAAAGGAUUCUUAUAAAGGAUUAUUAUAACACUCCGGUGUGUGGGGGAGGUUAUUGGGGAGACAGAAGGAAUAAACACUCGUGUGUGUAGGUGCAGAAGGAAGAACACUUCCCUGUGUGUGUUUGGGGGGAGGGAGGCAGAAGAGAAAAACACCCGUCUUGUUGUUUGUGUGUUGCUGGUGGUUAGGGGGGAAAGGGGACCCAGUGGGACUCUCUGUGUAACAUGGGAAAGUCCAGCAGGUACACGGAAAGGAUCUAUUCUUCUUCUUCUACCAAGACCAGAUGUUCCAGAGUUUCCCUGUGAUUGUCACGUGGAGCGAACAGAUGUGGAACUGCCAGAGAGCCCGCCCCUCCUCCCCACACACAGUCCCAUUCAGUCUCACUGCUCCGGGCUGGGCCGCCGCUCUUUAUCUCCGCACAGCUCACAGCACCUCGGAUCCAUCGGAAGAUUGGGGGGACCCUCUGAAUAAUGUGGGUGACAGGCAGCCGGGAGGGAUGUAGAUGAGAGAGCUGGAGGCUGCUGGAUGAUGGGCUCAUUGACAUGCGCUCCACCGAUGCAAAAUGCAGCAUUUAUUAAAAAGAAAGACCAGCUAGGGCAUUUGUCUUCAGCAGGGCAUAUAAUAAAUGCACGAAAGCUGCCAAAGUCGGUCCAUGAGAUCUGCAGUGGUGACCACAGAAGAAUGGGAAGACCUUUGCGUUUCCAGGUGAGGUUGGUUACCUCUAAGUUGCAGUAUAUCCCAUGCAGCCUUCCCCUGCUGUCAGCAAUGAUGUUCUGCCAGACAGCCACAUCCAAGCCUACCCCUUCUAGUCCAUAGGACUUGAACCUUGUCCAAAUAUUUAAGACCUUUUUGGUUCAAAUUCCCCACACACAAUUGUGGCACAACAUUUGGUGACACUCCCUUUAGGAAAUAACAUGGAUAUAUGAAACCAUGAAACGUUACUAGACAGUAGCAGAGGGAUCAGUGUAAAACACUUCUGAACCUGGACCUAAGUCUCCUUUGGGCAGCUGACACUGAGUCGACUGCAUGGCAAAAUAGGAUGAAGAGGACCCCCAUGGCAACUGUCAUUUUGUGUGGUGGCCAAACUGCUCUUCCUUUGCUGAAUGUCAUACGGUCAAGCUGUUAUAGUUCUGGUACUGUCCAAAACAGCAAAUAACCAUAAACCCCAAACCUCACCCUUGGUCUGAUGCUUAGACCUCCUUACUGGUUCAGCCCCACAGUUUGAGAAUCUUUGUGCUGCUUUGAACAAAAAGUCCAACAGGAUUGAACUGAAUAUUGCAUUUUAGCAUUUCUGCAGAUCUCAUUCUGUACCUUCAUUUACAAAGACAUUAUCCUCAACACUUACCGUAGAUUGUAAGCUCUACAGGGCAUGGGCCUCUUUCCUACUGUGCCUCUUACCACGUGCCACUUAAUUUUUAUACUUUCUUAUUAUAAUACUUUUCUAUGUUGCAAGUUAACAGAAUUGAAGUUCUUAACUAUGCUUUUGGAUUUAUUUUCUUCUGUCAUUAUUAAAUCACAGCUUGAAUUUUUUGUGUUUUUUUUUUUUUUAAAAAGACAAAAUCAUUGCUGGAGGAUAAUUACUGCUAAUCAUAAAUAAGGCUUGAUUGCUUUGCUAUACAAUUAAUGUGUCCUUUUUGUUGCCAUUCCUUUGGGAGUGUACAUUUGCCAUGCUUGGGUAUUAAAAAUUAAUGCCCUAAACUUUGGACAUGUAUUGGUGGAAAGUGGACAUGUAAUCACAUAGGGUCACUUUAAUCAACACAUUCAAUCAGUUUAAUUUAUUCAUUUAUUGAAAAGUAAUUCCAUGGUCACCAGGACAUGACACAGGGAGUAAAGGCUGAGAUAAACUGCAUUUGCUGGGUACAAUUUUUAACUUGGCUUCCUGAUUUUGAUUUCUGCUUAUUUCAGGAGUAGGAAUUAACUUAAAUUGCAAAAGUGGCAGUACCUUUUCAGAUGAGACAGUGACACCCAAGCAAGUAAGCGAGUUGAAAGAAUAAACUUAUAUGGCAGAAAUGACACCUAAGUAUGCAAGUAACUUCAAGCAGCUCUCUUCAAGCUGCCUCCAUUUGCUUCCCCACAUCCUGAUUCCCACUUCCUGAACAGAAAUCUAGCGAUGGGGAAUAAAUUUGACUGGCGCAAAUUCGCGUUGACUUUCCGCGUUUUGUCGCCGGCGAAUAAACUUGCGAGACUUGCGUCUGAAAAGUCGAUUGAGUCAAAAUCGCCGCACGUCAACACACGCGUCCACAAUUAAAUUUUCGAGUUUCACUCGUUUUUCAACGUUUCGCUGGAAAUUAGCAAAUUUUUCGGCAAGGCAUAAUGGAAGAAAUUCGCCCAUCACUACAGAAAUCUCAUUCCUAACCCCUCAGCUUUAUCACAGGCUGAUACAUUUACAGUUCUGGGUUUUCUGCCUGAGCGAAUUCAGCCCCUGUUAUUUUUCACAUCUACUUUGUCUCAUUCUGGGCAUUCUGGGAGACACCUACCUUUUGUUGCUCAAUUUUGAGGCUGCCGGGACACCUACUUUAAAUAGAGACGACUGACCCUAAAAUGUUUUGAAGACAAUUAAUGGAAAAUUUUGAUUAGCUUGAAAAACAGUAUUCUUUACUACAAAACUUUUUAUUACAUGCACUAUUCAUAGGAGCAAAUGCAAAAGUGAAUAAUCUUUUUUUAUAAUGGAGGAUAAGUUAAAUACCUUUAUGGUUGAAAAACCCUAGUUUAGUGCUAAUAAAAACAAAACAGAAAUUAUUCACAAAUACAAAAAAAAAGUCGUUUUUAUCAUUUGUUUUUUGUUUGGUUUGCAGUCACAUCAUUGCCAUAUUAUAUAAAAUAUUCCUAAAAUGAUAUCAGUUCUUUUAAUCUAAGAUUGCAAGUACAGGCACGAGACCUGUUAUACAGAAUGCUCAGGACCUGGGAUUUUCCGGACAAUGGAUCUUUCCAUAAAUGGAUCUUCAUACCUUAAGUCUACUAAAAAAAUAAUUUAAACAUUAAAUA